RNAcentral lists this ribosomal RNA (599 nucleotides) under Streptococcus gordonii. Its description in RNAcentral is "bacterial SSU rRNA". It matches the Rfam family "Bacterial small subunit ribosomal RNA", at positions 368 to 957 of the family's 1533-position model. Lineage: Bacteria; Bacillati; Bacillota; Bacilli; Lactobacillales; Streptococcaceae. The record is from RNAcentral.
GCAAUGGACGAAAGUCUGACCGAGCAACGCCGCGUGAGUGAAGAAGGUUUUCGGAUCGUAAAGCUCUGUUGUAAGAGAAGAACGGGUGUGAGAGUGGAAAGUUCACACUGUGACGGUAUCUUACCAGAAAGGGACGGCUAACUACGUUGCCAGCAGCCGCGGUAAUACGUAGGUCCCGAGCGUUGUCCGGAUUUAUUGGGCGUAAAGCGAGCGCAGGCGGUUAGAUAAGUCUGAAGUUAAAGGCUGUGGCUUAACCAUAGUACGCUUUGGAAACUGUUUAACUUGAGUGCAGAAGGGGAGAGUGGAAUUCCAUGUGUAGCGGUGAAAUGCGUAGAUAUAUGGAGGAACACCGGUGGCGAAAGCGGCUCUCUGGUCUGUAACUGACGCUGAGGCUCGAAAGCGUGGGGAGCGAACAGGAUUAGAUACCCUGGUAGUCCACGCCGUAAACGAUGAGUGCUAGGUGUUAGGCCCUUUCCGGGGCUUAGUGCCGCAGCUAACGCAUUAAGCACUCCGCCUGGGGAGUACGACCGCAAGGUUGAAACUCAAAGGAAUUGACGGGGGCCCGCACAAGCGGUGGAGCAUGUGGUUUAAUUCGAAGC